CGAGUUCUGGCUCAGGAUGAACGCUAGCGGCAGGCUUAACACAUGCAGGUCGAGGGGCAGCGCGAGGUAGCAAUACUUUGGCGGCGACCGGCGGAAGGGUGCGUAACGCGUGAGCAACUUGCCCGUAUCUGGGACAUAACCGAUGGAAACGUCGACUAAUUUCCCAUAACAACAGAGAUGACAUCUUCUUUGUUUGAAAGCUUCGGUGGAUACGGAUGGGCUCGCGUGACAUUAGCUAGUUGGAGUGGUAACGGCACACCAAGGCGACGAUGUCUAGGGGUUCUGAGAGGAAGGUCCCCCACACUGGAACUGAGACACGGUCCAGACUCCUACGGGAGGCAGCAGUGAGGAAUAUUGGUCAAUGGGCGGAAGCCUGAACCAGCCAUGCCGCGUGCAGGAAAUAAGGCCCUAUGGGUCGUAAACUGCUUUUGACGGGGAGCAAUAAGGGCUACGCGUAGCCCGAUGAGAGUACUCGUCGAAUAAGCAUCGGCUAACUCCGUGCCAGCAGCCGC
RNAcentral lists this ribosomal RNA (512 nucleotides) under uncultured bacterium. Its description in RNAcentral is "bacterial SSU rRNA". It matches the Rfam family "Bacterial small subunit ribosomal RNA", at positions 9 to 518 of the family's 1533-position model. The record is from RNAcentral.